This 2739-nucleotide ribosomal RNA is filed under the name Staphylococcus aureus F25913. Its description in RNAcentral is "bacterial LSU rRNA". It matches the Rfam family "Bacterial large subunit ribosomal RNA". RNAcentral also lists the same sequence under 2 other names. The record is from RNAcentral. Lineage: Bacteria; Bacillati; Bacillota; Bacilli; Caryophanales; Staphylococcaceae.
ACCCGGAGAACUGAAACAUCUUAGUACCCGGAGGAAGAGAAAGAAAAUUCGAUUCCCUUAGUAGCGGCGAGCGAAACGGGAAGAGCCCAAACCAAAAAGCUUGCUUGUUGGGGUUGUAGGACACUCUAUACGGAGUUACAAAGGACGACAUUAGACGAAUCAUCUGGAAAGAUGAAUCAAAGAAGGUAAUAAUCCUGUAGUCGAAAAUGUUGUCUCUCUUGAGUGGAUCCUGAGUACGACGGAGCACGUGAAAUUCCGUCGGAAUCUGGGAGGACCAUCUCCUAAGGCUAAAUACUCUCUAGUGACCGAUAGUGAACCAGUACCGUGAGGGAAAGGUGAAAAGCACCCCGGAAGGAGAGUGAAAUAGAACCUGAAACCGUGUGCUUACAAGUAGUCAGAGCCCGUUAAUGGGUGAUGGCGUGCCUUUUGUAGAAUGAACCGGCGAGUUACGAUUUGAUGCAAGGUUAAGCAGUAAAUGUGGAGCCGUAGCGAAAGCGAGUCUGAAUAGGGCGUUUAGUAUUUGGUCGUAGACCCGAAACCAGGUGAUCUACCCUUGGUCAGGUUGAAGUUCAGGUAACACUGAAUGGAGGACCGAACCGACUUACGUUGAAAAGUGAGCGGAUGAACUGAGGGUAGCGGAGAAAUUCCAAUCGAACCUGGAGAUAGCUGGUUCUCUCCGAAAUAGCUUUAGGGCUAGCCUCAAGUGAUGAUUAUUGGAGGUAGAGCACUGUUUGGACGAGGGGCCCCUCUCGGGUUACCGAAUUCAGACAAACUCCGAAUGCCAAUUAAUUUAACUUGGGAGUCAGAACAUGGGUGAUAAGGUCCGUGUUCGAAAGGGAAACAGCCCAGACCACCAGCUAAGGUCCCAAAAUAUAUGUUAAGUGGAAAAGGAUGUGGCGUUGCCCAGACAACUAGGAUGUUGGCUUAGAAGCAGCCAUCAUUUAAAGAGUGCGUAAUAGCUCACUAGUCGAGUGACACUGCGCCGAAAAUGUACCGGGGCUAAACAUAUUACCGAAGCUGUGGAUUGUCCUUUGGACAAUGGUAGGAGAGCGUUCUAAGGGCGUUGAAGCAUGAUCGUAAGGACAUGUGGAGCGCUUAGAAGUGAGAAUGCCGGUGUGAGUAGCGAAAGACGGGUGAGAAUCCCGUCCACCGAUUGACUAAGGUUUCCAGAGGAAGGCUCGUCCGCUCUGGGUUAGUCGGGUCCUAAGCUGAGGCCGACAGGCGUAGGCGAUGGAUAACAGGUUGAUAUUCCUGUACCACCUAUAAUCGUUUUAAUCGAUGGGGGGACGCAGUAGGAUAGGCGAAGCGUGCGAUUGGAUUGCACGUCUAAGCAGUAAGGCUGAGUAUUAGGCAAAUCCGGUACUCGUUAAGGCUGAGCUGUGAUGGGGAGAAGACAUUGUGUCUUCGAGUCGUUGAUUUCACACUGCCGAGAAAAGCCUCUAGAUAGAAAAUAGGUGCCCGUACCGCAAACCGACACAGGUAGUCAAGAUGAGAAUUCUAAGGUGAGCGAGCGAACUCUCGUUAAGGAACUCGGCAAAAUGACCCCGUAACUUCGGGAGAAGGGGUGCUCUUUAGGGUUAACGCCCAGAAGAGCCGCAGUGAAUAGGCCCAAGCGACUGUUUAUCAAAAACACAGGUCUCUGCUAAACCGUAAGGUGAUGUAUAGGGGCUGACGCCUGCCCGGUGCUGGAAGGUUAAGAGGAGUGGUUAGCUUCUGCGAAGCUACGAAUCGAAGCCCCAGUAAACGGCGGCCGUAACUAUAACGGUCCUAAGGUAGCGAAAUUCCUUGUCGGGUAAGUUCCGACCCGCACGAAAGGCGUAACGAUUUGGGCACUGUCUCAACGAGAGACUCGGUGAAAUCAUAGUACCUGUGAAGAUGCAGGUUACCCGCGACAGGACGGAAAGACCCCGUGGAGCUUUACUGUAGCCUGAUAUUGAAAUUCGGCACAGCUUGUACAGGAUAGGUAGGAGCCUUUGAAACGUGAGCGCUAGCUUACGUGGAGGCGCUGGUGGGAUACUACCCUAGCUGUGUUGGCUUUCUAACCCGCACCACUUAUCGUGGUGGGAGACAGUGUCAGGCGGGCAGUUUGACUGGGGCGGUCGCCUCCUAAAAGGUAACGGAGGCGCUCAAAGGUUCCCUCAGAAUGGUUGGAAAUCAUUCAUAGAGUGUAAAGGCAUAAGGGAGCUUGACUGCGAGACCUACAAGUCGAGCAGGGUCGAAAGACGGACUUAGUGAUCCGGUGGUUCCGCAUGGAAGGGCCAUCGCUCAACGGAUAAAAGCUACCCCGGGGAUAACAGGCUUAUCUCCCCCAAGAGUUCACAUCGACGGGGAGGUUUGGCACCUCGAUGUCGGCUCAUCGCAUCCUGGGGCUGUAGUCGGUCCCAAGGGUUGGGCUGUUCGCCCAUUAAAGCGGUACGCGAGCUGGGUUCAGAACGUCGUGAGACAGUUCGGUCCCUAUCCGUCGUGGGCGUAGGAAAUUUGAGAGGAGCUGUCCUUAGUACGAGAGGACCGGGAUGGACAUACCUCUGGUGUACCAGUUGUCGUGCCAACGGCAUAGCUGGGUAGCUAUGUGUGGACGGGAUAAGUGCUGAAAGCAUCUAAGCAUGAAGCCCCCCUCAAGAUGAGAUUUCCCAACUUCGGUUAUAAGAUCCCUCAAAGAUGAUGAGGUUAAUAGGUUCGAGGUGGAAGCAUGGUGACAUGUGGAGCUGACGAAUACUAAUCGAUCGAAGACUUAAUCAA